GAUGAACGCUGGCGGCGUGCCUAAUACAUGCAAGUCGAGCGAACAGACGAGGAGCUUGCUCCUCUGACGUUAGCGGCGGACGGGUGAGUAACACGUGGAUAACCUACCUAUAAGACUGGGAUAACUUCGGGAAACCGGAGCUAAUACCGGAUAAUAUAUUGAACCGCAUGGUUCAAUAGUGAAAGACGGUUUUGCUGUCACUUAUAGAUGGAUCCGCGCCGCAUUAGCUAGUUGGUAAGGUAACGGCUUACCAAGGCAACGAUGCGUAGCCGACCGGAGAGGGGGAUCGCCCACACUGGAACUGAGACAGGGUCCAGACUCCUACGGGAGGCAGCAGUAGGGAAUCUUCCGCAAUGGGCGAAAGCCUGACGGAGCAACGCCGCGUGAGUGAUGAAGGUCUUCGGAUCGUAAAACUCUGUUAUUAGGGAAGAACAAAUGUGUAAGUAACUAUGCACGUCUUGACGGUACCUAAUCAGAAAGCCACGGCUAACUACGUG
RNAcentral lists this ribosomal RNA (497 nucleotides) under uncultured bacterium. RNAcentral's name for it is "partial 16S ribosomal RNA". It matches the Rfam family "Bacterial small subunit ribosomal RNA", at positions 28 to 507 of the family's 1533-position model. The record is from RNAcentral.